Molecule: long non-coding RNA, 619 nt
Organism: Podarcis raffonei (Aeolian wall lizard)
Lineage: Eukaryota; Metazoa; Chordata; Lepidosauria; Squamata; Lacertidae
Exons: 2
Source: RefSeq, a predicted model, not a curated record
GCGGCGCUCUACUUAUGGACUUUUCAGGGUGUGAACGGCACCCCUGAACGGAUCACGUCCAUAAGUAGAGGUACCACUGUACUAAGUUGAGAUUUUACUAAAUUGUAAGGAAAAGGAAACAUAAUUUUGUGUAAUCUGCCCUCCCCGCUGGUGACACAAAAUUCCAUAUCUUCUUACAACUCUUCCUGUGGUCUCAUGUUGACUGCAUGGCAGACAAGAUGGAAUGUUGCAGGAUACGUCCCAUGCAGGGUAGCAGCAAUCCCCAGCACACUUGCUAGAACCUGCCUGGUGGAUAGGAGUGGAAUCACUAUAACAGUGUCUCCAGUCCCAACAGACAGGCUACAAUCAAUGGUACCAAAUACUGCUGGGAUGUUCAAGAGUCUUCAAAAGCAGGUCUUCACAACAUUUACAGGAGGUGGUAAAUGGGCAACUUCUGAGGGAUAACUCUAGCUCUUUAGCAGACGGCAAAGGCAAAGCGCUGCCCUGGAAUAAUGGGUGAGAUGCUGUAGAGAAAUACUCUUUCCACCGCCAGAGAGGCAUCCUUCAUUCAAUUAGAAUUGUCAGCUGUCUUAAUUUUGCCACGGCACUCAUGAAUAAAGAAACAUUGCUUUCAGGACAA